This 269-nucleotide ribosomal RNA is filed under the name uncultured prokaryote. RNAcentral describes it as "partial 16S ribosomal RNA". It matches the Rfam family "Bacterial small subunit ribosomal RNA", at positions 524 to 794 of the family's 1533-position model. The record is from RNAcentral.
UACGUAGGGGCUAGCGUUAUCCGGAAUUACUGGGCGUAAAGGGUGCAUAGGCGGUCUUUCAAGCCAGAAGUGAAAGGCUACGGCUCAACCGUAGUAAGCUUUUGGAACUGUAAGACUUGAGUGCAGGAGAGGAGAGUGGAAUUCCUAGUGUAGCGGUGAAAUGCGUAGAUAUUAGGAAGAACACCAGUGGCGAAGGCGAUUCUCUGGACUGUAACUGACGCUGAGGCUCGAAAGCGUGGGGAGCAAACAGGAUUAGAUACCCCUGUAGU